This is a non-coding RNA of Callorhinchus milii (elephant shark), 73 nucleotides long. The record is from the annotation of a RefSeq genome assembly. Lineage: Eukaryota; Metazoa; Chordata; Chondrichthyes; Chimaeriformes; Callorhinchidae.
AGUCCUGUAGCUCAGUGGUUAGAGCGCUCGCUUCCCAAGUGAGAGGAUCUGGGUUCAAUUCCCAGGAGGGCGA